GGGAAAUGAUGCUGGUUGUGGAUUUUUCCUGCGUGUAUGGAUUUGCAAGACAAGAGAGAAUACCGGGUGGAUUAGCUUGAGCAAUGCUUAAGUCAGUAUGGGUAUUGAGUAGAAUAUAAAAUUGACUAAAUAGAAUCUUACCUGAAUGUGAAAGCUUGAGCUUCUUCUAUAGGUAUCGGAAAGACUGCUAUUUGGAAUAGGAUUUAGCAUUUGAGAUAGGAUUCCUAUUUUGGAGGACGUCUAAUUAGAG
This 250-nucleotide unclassified non-coding RNA is filed under the name Hevea brasiliensis (rubber tree). Lineage: Eukaryota; Viridiplantae; Streptophyta; Magnoliopsida; Malpighiales; Euphorbiaceae. The record is from RNAcentral.